This is a long non-coding RNA of Portunus trituberculatus (swimming crab), 193 nucleotides long. RefSeq lists it as uncharacterized. NCBI's taxonomy places the organism in Eukaryota, Metazoa, Arthropoda, Malacostraca, Decapoda, Portunidae. The transcript is spliced from 2 exons. The record is from RefSeq and is a predicted model, not a curated record.
UUGUUGAAUGAGUAAUAGGAGGAAUAGGAGUAAGAUAUGGAGUAAAAGAAGAUAAUUGGAGGUGAAGCAAUGAGGAGGAGGCGGUGUGUGUGUGUGUGUGUGUGUGUGUGUGUGUGUGUGUGUGUGUGUGUGUGUGUGUGUGUGUGUGUGUGUGUGUGUGUGUGUGUGUGUGUGUGUGUGUGUGUGUGUGUGU